AUGCUCCGGCUCCGACGCGGCCUCCUCUCCCAGAUCCUCUCGUCUCCCUCCGCCUCCCCCAUCUCCCACCUGAGUAGCCUCAUCUCCGCCGCCGCGCCCGCCGUCUCCUCGAACCCUAGCUUCGCAGCGGAGGACUACCUCGUCUUCACCUGCGGCCUCAUCCGGGCACAGGCCCUCAAGGCCUCCCGCAAAAUCUCCCACCUCAAAUCCCCAGAUAAUUCCGAUGUCGUCCUCUCAUUCCUCGCCGGCCUGGGUCUCUCCACCAUCGACGCCGCCGCCCUUGUCGCCAAGGACCCGCAGUUCCUCUGCGCUAGCAUUGAGAGGACCCUGGCGCUCGUUGUCGUCGAGCUCACCGCUCUCGUCUGUUGCACUCUGAGAUCGCGCGCCUAG
This 390-nucleotide ribosomal RNA is filed under the name Triticum aestivum (bread wheat). Its description in RNAcentral is "partial small subunit ribosomal RNA". Lineage: Eukaryota; Viridiplantae; Streptophyta; Magnoliopsida; Poales; Poaceae. The record is from RNAcentral.